GGGGAUGUGACUCAGUGGUAGAGCACCUGCUUGGAAUGCAGAGGGUCCCAGGUUCAGUCCCCAGCAUCUUCA
RNAcentral lists this transfer RNA (72 nucleotides) under Sphaerodactylus townsendi. RNAcentral describes it as "tRNA-Ser". It matches the Rfam family "tRNA". Rfam says of the family: Transfer RNA (tRNA) molecules are approximately 80 nucleotides in length. Their secondary structure includes four short double-helical elements and three loops (D, anti-codon, and T loops). Further hydrogen bonds mediate the characteristic L-shaped molecular structure. tRNAs have two regions of fundamental functional importance: the anti-codon, which is responsible for specific mRNA codon recognition, and the 3' end, to which the tRNAs corresponding amino acid is attached (by aminoacyl-tRNA synthetases). tRNAs cope with the degeneracy of the genetic code in two manners: having more than one tRNA (with a specific anti-codon) for a particular amino acid; and 'wobble' base-pairing, i.e. permitting non-standard base-pairing at the 3rd anti-codon position. The record is from RNAcentral. Lineage: Eukaryota; Metazoa; Chordata; Lepidosauria; Squamata; Sphaerodactylidae.